GCGUGAGUGUUCUUUGACCAGGUACCUCAGAGGUUUUACAUACAACUAGAACACUUGUGUGCAAUAGACAACGUUAAAUGUCCACAUCUACAUAAAAUGUCUCUCAUAAAGAACUCUAUACUAGAACCUUCAAUUAAAACGUGACAAAGUUCAGCCUGAUUAAAGCCAGGUUAGUUGUACUGUCAUUGGUAAGAUCUUUUUUUCUAGCUGUCUUUUUCUAUUUGACAUUCAGUCCACGAGGUGAACAAGGACGAACAUAGAUGAACAAUGACGUUUCAAAAUAUUAACACUCUUCUUCUUGUGUUGGCUGGAAUCUCAGUAACUGGACUUAUUUUUUGGGGCUACACCUCAACCUCAUUCAAUUUCAGAUUUAAAGAGAAACGAUUCUGCCUCAA
This is a long non-coding RNA of Labeo rohita (rohu), 395 nucleotides long. RefSeq lists it as uncharacterized. Lineage: Eukaryota; Metazoa; Chordata; Actinopteri; Cypriniformes; Cyprinidae. The record is from RefSeq and is a predicted model, not a curated record. The transcript has 3 exons.